Molecule: ribosomal RNA, 468 nt
Filed under: uncultured bacterium
Lineage: Bacteria
Description: partial 16S ribosomal RNA
Rfam family: Bacterial small subunit ribosomal RNA
Source: RNAcentral
GACGAACGCUGGCGGCGUGCUUAACACAUGCAAGUCGAACGGAAAGGCCCUGCUUUUGUGGGGUGCUCGAGUGGCGAACGGGUGAGUAACACGUGAGUAACCUGCCCUUGACUUUGGGAUAACUUCAGGAAACUGGGGCUAAUACCGGAUAGGAGCUCCUGCUGCAUGGUGGGGGUUGGAAAGUUUCGGCGGUUGGGGAUGGACUCGCGGCUUAUCAGCUUGUUGGUGGGGUAGUGGCUUACCAAGGCUUUGACGGGUAGCCGGCCUGAGAGGGUGACAGGCCACAUUGGGACUGAGAUACGGCAGAGACUCCUAAGGGAGGCAGAAGGGGGGAAUAUUGAAGAAUGGGCGGAAGCCUGAUGAAGCAACGCCGCGUGCGGGAUGACGGCCUUAGGGUUGUAAACCGCUUUCGCCAGUGACGAAGCGUGAGUGAAGGUAAUGGGUAAAGAAGCACAGGCUAACUACGUG